RNAcentral lists this ribosomal RNA (549 nucleotides) under Escherichia coli. Its description in RNAcentral is "partial 16S ribosomal RNA". It matches the Rfam family "Bacterial small subunit ribosomal RNA", at positions 1 to 539 of the family's 1533-position model. The record is from RNAcentral. Lineage: Bacteria; Pseudomonadati; Pseudomonadota; Gammaproteobacteria; Enterobacterales; Enterobacteriaceae. RNAcentral also lists the same sequence under 1 other name.
AAAUUGAAGAGUUUGAUCAUGGCUCAGAUUGAACGCUGGCGGCAGGCCUAACACAUGCAAGUCGAACGGUAACAGGAAACAGCUUGCUGUUUCGCUGACGAGUGGCGGACGGGUGAGUAAUGUCUGGGAAACUGCCUGAUGGAGGGGGAUAACUACUGGAAACGGUAGCUAAUACCGCAUAAUGUCGCAAGACUAAAGAGGGGGACCUUCGGGCCUCUUGCCAUCGGAUGUGCCCAGAUGGGAUUAGCUAGUAGGUGGGGUAACGGCUCACCUAGGCGACGAUCCCUAGCUGGUCUGAGAGGAUGACCAGCCACACUGGAACUGAGACACGGUCCAGACUCCUACGGGAGGCAGCAGUGGGGAAUAUUGCACAAUGGGCGCAAGCCUGAUGCAGCCAUGCCGCGUGUAUGAAGAAGGCCUUCGGGUUGUAAAGUACUUUCAGCGGGGAGGAAGGGAGUAAAGUUAAUACCUUUACUCAUUGACGUUACCCGCAGAAGAAGCACCGGCUAACUCCGUGCCAGCAGCCGCGGUAAUACGGAGGGUGCAAGC